GCGCGGUCUUUUGUACAACACUUCUCCCUGCUGCAAUGACUGAAGCCAACCCUUCUAUUUCUUGCAAUUACCCAGGUUUGGCAAAUGUAGUACAAUCAAAGUCUUGAGCUCUAUACGGUCUACCCAUGCUACCCGGGAUUUUAGCUAUAGCAGACCUACCCAGGUUGCUAAAUCAGUUCAGUGCUAUUAUUAUGGAGAUCCGCAUAGUGGAACAAACCUGCAAAGUGGGAAGAUUCUCCCCUCACUCUGCCUGUGGCACUUUGCGAAACGCUGUGCAAUAAUCAAAGGAUGUGUGGCCCAAUGGAUAAGGCGCCUGCCUACGGAGCAGGAGAUUCCAGGUUCGAUCCCUGGCACGUUCAGUAAAUGGAUGCAAGGAAGCUCUGUUUUCAGACGUCGUAGCUGCAGUCACGUCUCUUGCCAUCGGUGUCUUUUCUUUGAAUCCAUUGAUUGAUCAAUUGAUAAUGGCAACACAGCAACGUAUCUCAAGGUGGCAGAAUCGCAAAGUUGGAAUUGUUGCAAAGAGGCAAUGCGUUGAGGUUACACUCAAAGGUAUCCCCGGGAUCUCUUAAGCGAUGACUAAGCGCGGUCUUUUGUACAACACUUCUCCCUGCUGCAAUGACUGAAGCCAACCCUUCUAUUUCUUGCAAUUACCCAGGUUUGGCAAAUGUAGUACAAUCAAAGUCUUGAGCUCUAUACGGUCUACCCAUGCUACCCGGGAUUUUAGCUAUAGCAGACCUACCCAGGUUGCUAAAUCAGUUCAGUGCUAUUAUUAUGGAGAUCCGCAUAGUGGAACAAACCUGCAAAGUGGGAAGAUUCUCCCCUCACUCUGCCUGUGGCACUUUGCGAAACGCUGUGCAAUAAUCAAAGGAUGUGUGGCCCAAUGGAUAAGGCGCCUGCCUACGGAGCAGGAGAUUCCAGGUUCGAUCCCUGGCACGUUCAGUAAAUGGAUGCAAGGAAGCUCUGUUUUCAGACGUCGUAGCUGCAGUCACGUCUCUUGCCAUCGGUGUCUUUUCUUUGAAUCCAUUGAUUGAUCAAUUGAUAAUGGCAACACAGCAACGUAUCUCAAGGUGGCAGAAUCGCAAAGUUGGAAUUGUUGCAAAGAGGCAAUGCGUUGAGGUUACACUCAAAGGUAUCCCCGGGAUCUCUUAAGCGAUGACUAAGCGCGGUCUUUUGUACAACACUUCUCCCUGCUGCAAUGACUGAAGCCAACCCUUCUAUUUCUUGCAAUUACCCAGGUUUGGCAAAUGUAGUACAAUCAAAGUCUUGAGCUCUAUACGGUCUACCCAUGCUACCCGGGAUUUUAGCUAUAGCAGACCUACCCAGGUUGCUAAAUCAGUUCAGUGCUAUUAUUAUGGAGAUCCGCAUAGUGGAACAAACCUGCAAAGUGGGAAGAUUCUCCCCUCACUCUGCCUGUGGCACUUUGCGAAACGCUGUGCAAUAAUCAAAGGAUGUGUGGCCCAAUGGAUAAGGCGCCUGCCUACGGAGCAGGAGAUUCCAGGUUCGAUCCCUGGCACGUUCAGUAAAUGGAUGCAAGGAAGCUCUGUUUUCAGACGUCGUAGCUGCAGUCACGUCUCUUGCCAUCGGUGUCUUUUCUUUGAAUCCAUUGAUUGAUCAAUUGAUAAUGGCAACACAGCAACGUAUCUCAAGGUGGCAGAAUCGCAAAGUUGGAAUUGUUGCAAAGAGGCAAUGCGUUGAGGUUACACUCAAAGGUAUCCCCGGGAUCUCUUAAGCGAUGACUAAGCGCGGUCUUUUGUACAACACUUCUCCCUGCUGCAAUGACUGAAGCCAACCCUUCUAUUUCUUGCAAUUACCCAGGUUUGGCAAAUGUAGUACAAUCAAAGUCUUGAGCUCUAUACGGUCUACCCAUGCUACCCGGGAUUUUAGCUAUAGCAGACCUACCCAGGUUGCUAAAUCAGUUCAGUGCUAUUAUUAUGGAGAUCCGCAUAGUGGAACAAACCUGCAAAGUGGGAAGAUUCUCCCCUCACUCUGCCUGUGGCACUUUGCGAAACGCUGUGCAAUAAUCAAAGGAUGUGUGGCCCAAUGGAUAAGGCGCCUGCCUACGGAGCAGGAGAUUCCAGGUUCGAUCCCUGGCACGUUCAGUAAAUGGAUGCAAGGAAGCUCUGUUUUCAGACGUCGUAGCUGCAGUCACGUCUCUUGCCAUCGGUGUCUUUUCUUUGAAUCCAUUGAUUGAUCAAUUGAUAAUGGCAACACAGCAACGUAUCUCAAGGUGGCAGAAUCGCAAAGUUGGAAUUGUUGCAAAGAGGCAAUGCGUUGAGGUUACACUCAAAGGUAUCCCCGGGAUCUCUUAAGCGAUGACUAAGCGCGGUCUUUUGUACAACACUUCUCCCUGCUGCAAUGACUGAAGCCAACCCUUCUAUUUCUUGCAAUUACCCAGGUUUGGCAAAUGUAGUACAAUCAAAGUCUUGAGCUCUAUACGGUCUACCCAUGCUACCCGGGAUUUUAGCUAUAGCAGACCUACCCAGGUUGCUAAAUCAGUUCAGUGCUAUUAUUAUGGAGAUCCGCAUAGUGGAACAAACCUGCAAAGUGGGAAGAUUCUCCCCUCACUCUGCCUGUGGCACUUUGCGAAACGCUGUGCAAUAAUCAAAGGAUGUGUGGCCCAAUGGAUAAGGCGCCUGCCUACGGAGCAGGAGAUUCCAGGUUCGAUCCCUGGCACGUUCAGUAAAUGGAUGCAAGGAAGCUCUGUUUUCAGACGUCGUAGCUGCAGUCACGUCUCUUGCCAUCGGUGUCUUUUCUUUGAAUCCAUUGAUUGAUCAAUUGAUAAUGGCAACACAGCAACGUAUCUCAAGGUGGCAGAAUCGCAAAGUUGGAAUUGUUGCAAAGAGGCAAUGCGUUGAGGUUACACUCAAAGGUAUCCCCGGGAUCUCUUAAGCGAUGACUAAGCGCGGUCUUUUGUACAACACUUCUCCCUGCUGCAAUGACUGAAGCCAACCCUUCUAUUUCUUGCAAUUACCCAGGUUUGGCAAAUGUAGUACAAUCAAAGUCUUGAGCUCUAUACGGUCUACCCAUGCUACCCGGGAUUUUAGCUAUAGCAGACCUACCCAGGUUGCUAAAUCAGUUCAGUGCUAUUAUUAUGGAGAUCCGCAUAGUGGAACAAACCUGCAAAGUGGGAAGAUUCUCCCCUCACUCUGCCUGUGGCACUUUGCGAAACGCUGUGCAAUAAUCAAAGGAUGUGUGGCCCAAUGGAUAAGGCGCCUGCCUACGGAGCAGGAGAUUCCAGGUUCGAUCCCUGGCACGUUCAGUAAAUGGAUGCAAGGAAGCUCUGUUUUCAGACGUCGUAGCUGCAGUCACGUCUCUUGCCAUCGGUGUCUUUUCUUUGAAUCCAUUGAUUGAUCAAUUGAUAAUGGCAACACAGCAACGUAUCUCAAGGUGGCAGAAUCGCAAAGUUGGAAUUGUUGCAAAGAGGCAAUGCGUUGAGGUUACACUCAAAGGUAUCCCCGGGAUCUCUUAAGCGAUGACUAAGCGCGGUCUUUUGUACAACACUUCUCCCUGCUGCAAUGACUGAAGCCAACCCUUCUAUUUCUUGCAAUUACCCAGGUUUGGCAAAUGUAGUACAAUCAAAGUCUUGAGCUCUAUACGGUCUACCCAUGCUACCCGGGAUUUUAGCUAUAGCAGACCUACCCAGGUUGCUAAAUCAGUUCAGUGCUAUUAUUAUGGAGAUCCGCAUAGUGGAACAAACCUGCAAAGUGGGAAGAUUCUCCCCUCACUCUGCCUGUGGCACUUUGCGAAACGCUGUGCAAUAAUCAAAGGAUGUGUGGCCCAAUGGAUAAGGCGCCUGCCUACGGAGCAGGAGAUUCCAGGUUCGAUCCCUGGCACGUUCAGUAAAUGGAUGCAAGGAAGCUCUGUUUUCAGACGUCGUAGCUGCAGUCACGUCUCUUGCCAUCGGUGUCUUUUCUUUGAAUCCAUUGAUUGAUCAAUUGAUAAUGGCAACACAGCAACGUAUCUCAAGGUGGCAGAAUCGCAAAGUUGGAAUUGUUGCAAAGAGGCAAUGCGUUGAGGUUACACUCAAAGGUAUCCCCGGGAUCUCUUAAGCGAUGACUAAGCGCGGUCUUUUGUACAACACUUCUCCCUGCUGCAAUGACUGAAGCCAACCCUUCUAUUUCUUGCAAUUACCCAGGUUUGGCAAAUGUAGUACAAUCAAAGUCUUGAGCUCUAUACGGUCUACCCAUGCUACCCGGGAUUUUAGCUAUAGCAGACCUACCCAGGUUGCUAAAUCAGUUCAGUGCUAUUAUUAUGGAGAUCCGCAUAGUGGAACAAACCUGCAAAGUGGGAAGAUUCUCCCCUCACUCUGCCUGUGGCACUUUGCGAAACGCUGUGCAAUAAUCAAAGGAUGUGUGGCCCAAUGGAUAAGGCGCCUGCCUACGGAGCAGGAGAUUCCAGGUUCGAUCCCUGGCACGUUCAGUAAAUGGAUGCAAGGAAGCUCUGUUUUCAGACGUCGUAGCUGCAGUCACGUCUCUUGCCAUCGGUGUCUUUUCUUUGAAUCCAUUGAUUGAUCAAUUGAUAAUGGCAACACAGCAACGUAUCUCAAGGUGGCAGAAUCGCAAAGUUGGAAUUGUUGCAAAGAGGCAAUGCGUUGAGGUUACACUCAAAGGUAUCCCCGGGAUCUCUUAAGCGAUGACUAAGCGCGGUCUUUUGUACAACACUUCUCCCUGCUGCAAUGACUGAAGCCAACCCUUCUAUUUCUUGCAAUUACCCAGGUUUGGCAAAUGUAGUACAAUCAAAGUCUUGAGCUCUAUACGGUCUACCCAUGCUACCCGGGAUUUUAGCUAUAGCAGACCUACCCAGGUUGCUAAAUCAGUUCAGUGCUAUUAUUAUGGAGAUCCGCAUAGUGGAACAAACCUGCAAAGUGGGAAGAUUCUCCCCUCACUCUGCCUGUGGCACUUUGCGAAACGCUGUGCAAUAAUCAAAGGAUGUGUGGCCCAAUGGAUAAGGCGCCUGCCUACGGAGCAGGAGAUUCCAGGUUCGAUCCCUGGCACGUUCAGUAAAUGGAUGCAAGGAAGCUCUGUUUUCAGACGUCGUAGCUGCAGUCACGUCUCUUGCCAUCGGUGUCUUUUCUUUGAAUCCAUUGAUUGAUCAAUUGAUAAUGGCAACACAGCAACGUAUCUCAAGGUGGCAGAAUCGCAAAGUUGGAAUUGUUGCAAAGAGGCAAUGCGUUGAGGUUACACUCAAAGGUAUCCCCGGGAUCUCUUAAGCGAUGACUAAGCGCGGUCUUUUGUACAACACUUCUCCCUGCUGCAAUGACUGAAGCCAACCCUUCUAUUUCUUGCAAUUACCCAGGUUUGGCAAAUGUAGUACAAUCAAAGUCUUGAGCUCUAUACGGUCUACCCAUGCUACCCGGGAUUUUAGCUAUAGCAGACCUACCCAGGUUGCUAAAUCAGUUCAGUGCUAUUAUUAUGGAGAUCCGCAUAGUGGAACAAACCUGCAAAGUGGGAAGAUUCUCCCCUCACUCUGCCUGUGGCACUUUGCGAAACGCUGUGCAAUAAUCAAAGGAUGUGUGGCCCAAUGGAUAAGGCGCCUGCCUACGGAGCAGGAGAUUCCAGGUUCGAUCCCUGGCACGUUCAGUAAAUGGAUGCAAGGAAGCUCUGUUUUCAGACGUCGUAGCUGCAGUCACGUCUCUUGCCAUCGGUGUCUUUUCUUUGAAUCCAUUGAUUGAUCAAUUGAUAAUGGCAACACAGCAACGUAUCUCAAGGUGGCAGAAUCGCAAAGUUGGAAUUGUUGCAAAGAGGCAAUGCGUUGAGGUUACACUCAAAGGUAUCCCCGGGAUCUCUUAAGCGAUGACUAAGCGCGGUCUUUUGUACAACACUUCUCCCUGCUGCAAUGACUGAAGCCAACCCUUCUAUUUCUUGCAAUUACCCAGGUUUGGCAAAUGUAGUACAAUCAAAGUCUUGAGCUCUAUACGGUCUACCCAUGCUACCCGGGAUUUUAGCUAUAGCAGACCUACCCAGGUUGCUAAAUCAGUUCAGUGCUAUUAUUAUGGAGAUCCGCAUAGUGGAACAAACCUGCAAAGUGGGAAGAUUCUCCCCUCACUCUGCCUGUGGCACUUUGCGAAACGCUGUGCAAUAAUCAAAGGAUGUGUGGCCCAAUGGAUAAGGCGCCUGCCUACGGAGCAGGAGAUUCCAGGUUCGAUCCCUGGCACGUUCAGUAAAUGGAUGCAAGGAAGCUCUGUUUUCAGACGUCGUAGCUGCAGUCACGUCUCUUGCCAUCGGUGUCUUUUCUUUGAAUCCAUUGAUUGAUCAAUUGAUAAUGGCAACACAGCAACGUAUCUCAAGGUGGCAGAAUCGCAAAGUUGGAAUUGUUGCAAAGAGGCAAUGCGUUGAGGUUACACUCAAAGGUAUCCCCGGGAUCUCUUAAGCGAUGACUAAGCGCGGUCUUUUGUACAACACUUCUCCCUGCUGCAAUGACUGAAGCCAACCCUUCUAUUUCUUGCAAUUACCCAGGUUUGGCAAAUGUAGUACAAUCAAAGUCUUGAGCUCUAUACGGUCUACCCAUGCUACCCGGGAUUUUAGCUAUAGCAGACCUACCCAGGUUGCUAAAUCAGUUCAGUGCUAUUAUUAUGGAGAUCCGCAUAGUGGAACAAACCUGCAAAGUGGGAAGAUUCUCCCCUCACUCUGCCUGUGGCACUUUGCGAAACGCUGUGCAAUAAUCAAAGGAUGUGUGGCCCAAUGGAUAAGGCGCCUGCCUACGGAGCAGGAGAUUCCAGGUUCGAUCCCUGGCACGUUCAGUAAAUGGAUGCAAGGAAGCUCUGUUUUCAGACGUCGUAGCUGCAGUCACGUCUCUUGCCAUCGGU
This is a long non-coding RNA of Daphnia magna, 6805 nucleotides long. RefSeq lists it as uncharacterized. The transcript is spliced from 25 exons. The record is from RefSeq and is a predicted model, not a curated record. NCBI's taxonomy places the organism in Eukaryota, Metazoa, Arthropoda, Branchiopoda, Diplostraca, Daphniidae.